CCUACGGGAGGCAGCAGUGAGGAAUAUUGGUCAAUGGACGAGAGUCUGAACCAGCCAAGUAGCGUGAAGGAUGACUGCCCUAUGGGUUGUAACCUUCUUUUAUAUGGGAAUAAACUGUUCCACGUGUGGGCUUUUGUAUGUACCAUAUGAAUAAGGAUCGGCUAACUCCGUGCCAGCAGCCGCGGUAAUCCGGAGGAUCCGAGCGUUAUCCGGAUUUAUUGGGUUUAAGGGGGGCGUAGGUGGAUUGUUAAGUCAGUUGGGAAAGUUUGGGGCUCAACCGUAAAAGUGCCGUUGAAACUGGCAGUCUGGAGUAGAGUAGAGGUGGGCGGAAUUCGUGGUGUAGCGGUGAAAUGCUUAGAUAUCACGAAGAACUCCGAUUGCGAAGGCAGCUCGCUGGACUGCAACUGACACUGAGGCUCGAAAGCGUGGGUAUCAAACAGGAUUAGAUACCCCGGUAGUC
RNAcentral lists this ribosomal RNA (460 nucleotides) under uncultured bacterium. Its description in RNAcentral is "partial 16S ribosomal RNA". It matches the Rfam family "Bacterial small subunit ribosomal RNA", at positions 338 to 795 of the family's 1533-position model. The record is from RNAcentral.